AACGUAGGUGGCAAGCGUUAUCCGGAUUUACUGGGCGUAAAGCGUGUGCAGGCGGCCCUUCAAGUGGUGUAUGAAAUCGCCCGGCUCAACCGGGUGGGGUUAUGCCAGACUGGCGGGCUAGAGUCUGAAAGAGGGGGGUGGAAUUCCGGGUGUAGUGGUGAAAUGCGUAGAGAUCCGGAGGAACCCCAGAGGCGAAGGCGGCCCCCUGGUUCAGGACUGACGCUCAGACACGACAGCAUGGGGAGCGAACGGG
This 253-nucleotide ribosomal RNA is filed under the name uncultured bacterium. RNAcentral describes it as "partial 16S ribosomal RNA". It matches the Rfam family "Bacterial small subunit ribosomal RNA", at positions 524 to 776 of the family's 1533-position model. The record is from RNAcentral.